RNAcentral lists this ribosomal RNA (500 nucleotides) under Bacillus cereus. RNAcentral describes it as "bacterial SSU rRNA". It matches the Rfam family "Bacterial small subunit ribosomal RNA", at positions 443 to 928 of the family's 1533-position model. The record is from RNAcentral. Lineage: Bacteria; Bacillati; Bacillota; Bacilli; Caryophanales; Bacillaceae.
GGAAGAACAAGUGCUAGUUGAAUAAGCUGGCACCUUGACGGUACCUAACCAGAAAGCCACGGCUAACUACGUGCCAGCAGCCGCGGUAAUACGUAGGUGGCAAGCGUUAUCCGGAAUUAUUGGGCGUAAAGCGCGCGCAGGUGGUUUCUUAAGUCUGAUGUGAAAGCCCACGGCUCAACCGUGGAGGGUCAUUGGAAACUGGGAGACUUGAGUGCAGAAGAGGAAAGUGGAAUUCCAUGUGUAGCGGUGAAAUGCGUAGAGAUAUGGAGGAACACCAGUGGCGAAGGCGACUUUCUGGUCUGUAACUGACACUGAGGCGCGAAAGCGUGGGGAGCAAACAGGAUUAGAUACCCUGGUAGUCCACGGGGUAAACGAUGAGUGCUAAGUGUUAGAGGGUUUCCGCCCUUUAGUGCUGAAGUUAACGCAUUAAGCACUCCGCCUGGGGAAGUACGGGCCGCAAGGCUGGAAACUCAAAGGGAAUUGACGGGGGGCCCGCACAA